This 490-nucleotide ribosomal RNA is filed under the name uncultured bacterium. RNAcentral's name for it is "partial 16S ribosomal RNA". It matches the Rfam family "Bacterial small subunit ribosomal RNA", at positions 30 to 507 of the family's 1533-position model. The record is from RNAcentral.
AUUGAACGCUGGCGGCAGGCCUAACACAUGCAAGUCGAACGGCAACAGGGGUGAGCUUGCUUAUUCGCUGACGAGUGGCGGGCGGGUGAUAAAUGUCUGGGAAACUUCCUGAGGGAGGUAGAUCACUACUGGCAACGGUAGCUCAUACCACAUAACGCCGCAAGACCAAAGAGGCGGUCCUUCCGGCCGCUUUCCAGCUGAUGUGCCCAGGUGGGAUUAGCUAGUAGGUGGGGUAACGGCUCACCAAGGCGACGAUCCCUAGCUGGUCUGAGAGGAUGACCAGCCACACUGGAACUGAGACACGGUCCAGACUCCUACGGGAGGCAGCAGUGGGGAAUUUUGCACAAUGGGCGAAAGCCUGAUGCAGCAAUGCCGCGUGUGUGAAGAAGGCCUUCGGGUUGUAAAGUACUUUCAGCGGGGAGGAAGGGAGUAGAGCUAAUACCUUUGCGCAUUGACGUUACCCGAAGAAGAAGCACCGGCUAACUACGUG